Long non-coding RNA from Salarias fasciatus (jewelled blenny), 98 nucleotides. RefSeq lists it as uncharacterized. Lineage: Eukaryota; Metazoa; Chordata; Actinopteri; Blenniiformes; Blenniidae. The transcript is spliced from 3 exons. The record is from RefSeq and is a predicted model, not a curated record.
CACAGCAGGUCAGAGGACAGCCAUCACUACAUCAGUGUGUGUACUGCAGUCAACAGAGCCAUCAGAUAAGAACAAUAGUUCAGCAACUGAGAGACAGA